UAUAUAGUAUAAUAUUUUAUAUAAUUAUAAAUAUAAGAAAUCCUUUUUUCCUUUAGUAUAGCAAUAAAAAUAUAAUUUAAAUAUUAAAAAGUAAAUAUAU
Molecule: ribosomal RNA, 100 nt
Filed under: Orobdella octonaria
Lineage: Eukaryota; Metazoa; Annelida; Clitellata; Hirudinida; Orobdellidae
Description: partial 16S ribosomal RNA
Source: RNAcentral